AUGCCCCAGAACAUUGGCGACCAAACAUCAGAGGCCCAAUUAGUUACGAGACUGACUCAUUGGGGUUUCGCUCGCAGCAUUCUUGAGAUGUUCAGUGGCGUUCAGACUUGGUGUGCCAAAUCACCAGAUGAGAUUUAUCAGUCAGUUGUCCUGAAGAAAGAGAAACCGAUGUUCCUAUACAAUUUACCUAUGGAGGUCGCUAAUGUCCUCUCUGGCUGCUAUGAGUAUGACUUUCGGGAUCACUCCUUGAUGUUAGAUAUCUUACAGUCAUUUGAAAGGUUGGAGGUGACACAUGAACGCUGGCAAUGCAAAAUAGCAGAUAUAAAAUAA
RNAcentral lists this ribosomal RNA (330 nucleotides) under Triticum aestivum (bread wheat). RNAcentral's name for it is "partial small subunit ribosomal RNA". The record is from RNAcentral. Lineage: Eukaryota; Viridiplantae; Streptophyta; Magnoliopsida; Poales; Poaceae.